GAGAAAGUAAGCAAGGGCAGACGGUGGAUGCCUUGGCUCUCGGAGGCGACGAAGGACGUGAUAAGCUGCGAAAAGCCCGGGGGAGGCGCAAAUAGCCCUUGAUCCCGGGAUAUCCGAAUGGGGCAACCCGGCAGGCUGAAGGCCUGUCAUCCCGUAAGGGGAGGCGAACGUGGGGAACUGAAACAUCUAAGUACCCAUAGGAGGAGAAAAUAAACAAUGAUUCCGUAAGUAGUGGCGAGCGAACACGGAAGAGCCCAAACCCAUGUCGUCUAGGCGACACGGGGUUGUAGGACCACGACGUGGCAAGAGGAUGGCAAGUGGAACGCCUUGGAAAGGGCGACCGUAGAGGGUGAUAGUCCCGUACACGACUGCCUGCCGAAGCCUAGUGGCAUCCUGAGUAGCGCGGGGCACGAGAAAUCUUGCGUGAAACAGCGGGGCCCAUCCCGUAAGGCUAAAUACUCCCGAGAGACCGAUAGCGAACCAGUACCGUGAGGGAAAGGUGAAAAGAACCCCGAGCAGGGGAGUGAAAUAGACCCUGAACCCGUCUGCCUACAAGCGGUCGGAGCAUAGCAAUAUGUGACGGCGUGCCUUUUGCAUAAUGAACCUACGAGUUACCUUCCCCGGCAAGGUUAAGUACCUAAGGUACGGAGCCGAAGCGAAAGCGAGUCUGAAGAGGGCGGCCAGUCGGGGGGGGUAGACGCGAAACCGAGUGAUCUACCCUUGGCCAGGUUGAAGGUUGGGUAACACCAACUGGAGGACCGGAUGGGUAAGCGUUGAAAAGCUUUCCAAUGAGCUGAGGGUAGGGGUGAAAGGCUAAUCAAACUCGGAGAUAGCUCGUACUCCCCGAAAUGCAUUUAGGUGCAGCCUCUUUAUAGUAUAUCGUGAGGUAGAGCGACUGAUUGGAUGCGAGGGCUUCACCGCCUAUCAAGUCCAGAUAAACUCCGAAUGCGCGAUAUAUAUUUACAGGGAGUGAGGGCGCGGGUGCUAAGGUCCGUGUCCGAGAGGAGAAGAAUCCAGACCACCGGCUAAGGCCCCCAAAUGAUCGUUGAGUUGAACUAACGAGGUCGGAUCGCAGAGACAGCUAGGAUGUUGGCUUGGAAGCAGCCAUUCAUUUAAAGAGUGCGUAACAGCUCACUAGUCGAGCGAUCUGGCGUGGAUAAUAAUCGGGCAUAAACGAUCUGCCGAAGCCGUGGAUGUCGUAAGACAUGGUAGGGGAGCAUUCCAUGCGGCGUCGAAGAUGAGGGAUGACCCUUGUUGGAGCGCAUGGAAAAGCAAAUGUAGGUAUGAGUAACGAUAAGGGGGCGAGAAACCCCCCGCCGAAAGACCAAGGUUUCCUGAUCAACGCUAAUCGGAUCAGGGUGAGUCGGGACCUAAGGCAAAGCCGAACGGCGCCGCCGAUGGAAGAAUGGGUUAAUAUUCCCAUACUGCCUCAUGGAGUGACGUGGAGACGGAGAAGUGACAGUCCUGCCGGCUGACGGAAUAGCCGGUUGAAGGGUGUAGAUAUUGAUUCCCGUAGGCAAAUCCGCGGGGAGAGUCGAACCUGACAGUAUACCGAGUACUUGUACGAGGUAAUAUGGACGUAACCAUGCUCCCAAGAAAAUCCGCUAAACUUAUCCAUGCGGCACCCGUACCGUAAACGGACACACGUGGUCGGGUUGAGAAUACUGAGGCGCUCGAGUGACUCACGGUUAAGGAACUAGGCAAAUUGACCCUGUAACUUCGGGAUAAAGGGUCCUCGUCGUAAGGCGAGGCGCAGAGAAUAGGUCCAGGCAACUGUUUAACAAAAACACAUGGCUAUGCUAAAUGGAAACAUGACGUAUAUAGCCUGACACCUGCCCGGUGCUGGAAGGUUAAGAGGAGAUGUCAUCGCAAGAGAAGCGUUGAAUUGAAGCCCCAGUAAACGGCGGCCGUAACUAUAACGGUCCUAAGGUAGCGAAAUUCCUUGUCGGGUAAGUUCCGACCUGCACGAAUGGUGUAAUGAUCUGGACACUGUCUCAACCGUGAGCUCGGUGAAAUUGUAGUAUCGGUGAAGAUGCCGAUUACCCGCGAUGGGACGAAAAGACCCCGUGAACCUUUACUAUAGCUUUACAUUGAAUUUGGGCAGACGAUGUGUAGGAUAGGCCGGAGGCUUUGAAGGGGGUACGCCAGUAUCCUUGGAGCCGCCGUUGAAAUACGGCCCUUCGGUUGUUUGAGUUCUAACUCCUAGGCAUGGGAGGACACUGUAUGGUGGGUAGUUUGACUGGGGUGGUCGCCUCCAAAAGCGUAACGGAGGCUUCUAAAGGUGCCCUCAGACCGAUUGGUAACCGGUCGUAGAGUGUAAUGGCAUAAGGGCGCUUGACUGGGAGAGAUACAACUCGAUCAGGUAGGAAACUAGAGCAUAGUGAUCCGGUGGUUCCGCAUGGAAGGGCCAUCGCUCAAAGGAUAAAAGGUACUCCGGGGAUAACAGGCUGAUCAUUCCCAAGAGCUCAUAUCGACGGAAUGGUUUGGCACCUCGAUGUCGGCUCGUCACAUCCUGGGGCUGGAGAAGGUCCCAAGGGUUGGGCUGUUCGCCCAUUAAAGUGGCACGCGAGCUGGGUUCAGAACGUCGUGAGACAGUUCGGUCUCUAUCUAUCGUGGGCGCAGGAGAUUUGAGGGGCUCUGACACUAGUACGAGAGGACCGUGUUGGACGUACCACUGGUUUACCGGUUGUCCCGCCAGGGGCACCGCCGGGUAUCUAAGUACGGAUCGGAUAAGUGCUGAAAGCAUCUAAGUACGAAGCCGGCCUCAAGAUUAGAUCUCCCUGAAGGGUGGUUAUAGACGAUGACCUUGAUAGGCCACAGGUGUAAGGGCGGCGACGUCCGAGCCGAGUGGUACUAAUAGCCCGGGACUUUCCUCA
This 2876-nucleotide ribosomal RNA is filed under the name Parabacteroides distasonis. RNAcentral's name for it is "23S ribosomal RNA". It matches the Rfam family "Bacterial large subunit ribosomal RNA". Lineage: Bacteria; Pseudomonadati; Bacteroidota; Bacteroidia; Bacteroidales; Tannerellaceae. The record is from RNAcentral.